UAGGGAAUCUUCCGCAAUGGGCGAAAGCCUGACGGAGCAACGCCGCGUGAGUGAUGAAGGUCUUCGGAUCGUAAAACUCUGUUAUUAGGGAAGAACAAAUGUGUAAGUAACUAUGCACGUCUUGACGGUACCUAAUCAGAAAGCCACGGCUAACUACGUGCCAGCAGCCGCGGUAAUACGUAGGUGGCAAGCGUUAUCCGGAAUUAUUGGGCGUAAAGCGCGCGUAGGCGGUUUUUUAAGUCUGAUGUGAAAGCCCACGGCUCAACCGUGGAGGGUCAUUGGAAACUGGAAAACUUGAGUGCAGAAGAGGAAAGUGGAAUUACAUGUGUAGCGGUGAAAUGCGCAGAGAUAUGGAGGAACACCAGUGGCGAAGGCGACUUUCUGGUCUGUAACUGACGCUGAUGUGCGAAAGCGUGGGGAUCAAACAGG
This 429-nucleotide ribosomal RNA is filed under the name Actinomycetes bacterium. Its description in RNAcentral is "Actinobacteria bacterium partial 16S ribosomal RNA". It matches the Rfam family "Bacterial small subunit ribosomal RNA", at positions 355 to 776 of the family's 1533-position model. The record is from RNAcentral. Lineage: Bacteria; Bacillati; Actinomycetota; Actinomycetes. RNAcentral also lists the same sequence under 1 other name.